Gorilla gorilla gorilla (western lowland gorilla) is the source of this 93-nucleotide unclassified non-coding RNA. It matches the Rfam family "Y RNA". Rfam says of the family: Y RNAs are components of the Ro ribonucleoprotein particle (Ro RNP), in association with Ro60 and La proteins. The Y RNAs and Ro60 and La proteins are well conserved, but the function of the Ro RNP is not known. The record is from Ensembl. NCBI's taxonomy places the organism in Eukaryota, Metazoa, Chordata, Mammalia, Primates, Hominidae.
GGGUAGUCCAAUAGUGGGUCAUUAGAACUCAUUAACAUUAGCGUUACUAAAGUUGGUAUACAAUACCUCACUGCUAAAUUUAACUGGCUUUAU